This 1469-nucleotide unclassified non-coding RNA is filed under the name uncultured fungus. RNAcentral describes it as "sequence contains 18S rRNA gene, ITS1, 5.8S rRNA gene, ITS2, 28S rRNA gene". The stretch from base 549 to 1469 matches the Rfam family "Eukaryotic large subunit ribosomal RNA", at positions 1 to 961 of the family's 3401-position model. The record is from RNAcentral. Lineage: Eukaryota; Fungi.
GGUUGGAUCAUUACUGAUUACCAGUCUCUAGGGAGUGUCCGCCUAGGCGUUGACUUCCCUCUAGACUUUUCACCCCUUGUGCACCGUAAUUGUUUUUUGGGCAGUCUAUUUUGGGCUGCCCAGCUAUUUAAACCCCUUUUAAUUUGUCUGAAACUAAGAGAAUAACCUUGACAACUUUUGACAACGGAUCUCUUGGCUCUCGCAACGAUGAAGAACGCAGCGAAAUGCGAUACGUGAUGUGAAUUGCAGAAUCUCGUGAAUCAUCGAAUCUUUGAACGCACAUUGCACUCUAUUCUGUAGAGUAUGCCUGUUUGAGAAUCUAAUGUACCUAUUCCCUCUGGUUUACCAAGGGAGAUCUGAGGCUUCUCUGCUCGAGUGCCUUGAAUUACAUUAUCCCGGUCUGAAGCUUGUGACGACAACUCGCAGAGUCGACUGAACAGUAUAUGCAUGGAGCCUUGGCUUCUCAUAAUGCCUAUUAAGCGACGCGGGGAAGAGCAAAGCGGAAGGCUGGGUUCCACCUAGAGACUGGGUCAAACCAGUCUGAACCAUGGUCUCAAAUCAGGUAGGACUACCCGCUGAACUUAAGCAUAUCAAUAAGCGGAGGAAAAGAAACUAACAAGGAUUCCCCUAGUAACGGCGAGUGAAGCGGGAACAGCUCAAAUUUGAAAUCCCGCAAGGGAGUUGUAGUUUAGAGAAGCGUUUUCGGGGUCGACCUGUGGUACAAGUCCAUUGGAACAUGGCAUCAUAGAGGGUGAAAAUCCCGUCUUUGACCAUGGGCUCGACUCCAUAUGAUACGUUUUCCAAGAGUCGGUUUGUUUGGGAAUGCAGACCAAAAUGGGUGGUAAAUACCAUCUAAAGCUAAAUAUUGGCGAGAGACCGAUAGCGAACAAGUACCGUGAGGGAAAGAUGAAAAGAACUUUGAAAAGAGAGUUAAACAGUACGUGAAAUUGUCAAAAGGGAAACGUUUGAAACCAGUAUUGUAUGCACGAAUUUAGCUGUGAUUUAUUGCAGUGUCCUUUUGUGCAGCAAGUCAACAUCAGUUUGGUCUCGGGGAAAAAGCUGGGGAAAGGUGGCCUUCGGGUGUUAUAGUCCCUAGUGCUACCCAGGACUGGACUGAGGACUGCAGCUUCGGCUAAGGAUGUUGACGAAAUGGUUCUAAGCGACCCGUCUUGAAACACGGACCAAGGAGUCUAACAUAUAUGCGAGUAUUUGGGUGGUAAACCCUUGUGCGUAAUGAAAGUGAAAAGGUGGGAUCUUCGGAGCACCAUCGACCGCGCCAGAUUAUUGCUAUCUUGGCGUGAGUAUGAGCAUAUAUGCUAGGACCCGAAAGAUGGUGAACUAUACCUGAAUAGGGUGAAGCCAGAGGAAACUCUGGUGGAGGCUCGUAGGGGUUCUGACGUGCAAAUCGAUCUUCAAAUUUGGGUAUAGGGGCGAAAGACUAAUCGAACCAUCUAGUAGCUGGUUCCCUC